Molecule: ribosomal RNA, 253 nt
Filed under: uncultured bacterium
Lineage: Bacteria
Description: partial 16S ribosomal RNA
Rfam family: Bacterial small subunit ribosomal RNA
Source: RNAcentral
UACGGGGGGGGCAAGCGUUGUUCGGAAUUACUGGGCGUAAAGGGCUCGUAGGUGGCCAACUAAGUCAGACGUGAAAUCCCUCGGCUUAACCGGGGAACUGCGUCUGAUACUGGAUGGCUUGAGUGUGGGAGAGGGAUGCGGAAUUCCAGGUGUAGCGGUGAAAUGCGUAGAUAUCUGGAGGGACACCGGUGGCGAAGGCGGCAUCCUGGACCAUUACUGACACUGAAAAGCGAAAGCCAGGGGAGCAAACGGG